CUGUAGCAAUACAGAGGAAGACCUAGUGGCGAACGGGUGAGGAACACGUGAGGAACCUGCCCCUCGGUCGGGGACAACUCUUGGAAACGAGAGCUAAUACCCGAUACGCUGUGGAGUGAAAGAAUUUCGCCGAGGGAUGAUCUUGCGUCUGAUUAGCUAGUUGGUGUGGUAACUGCACACCAAGGCGACGAUCAGUAGCUGGUCUGAGAGGAUGGACAGCCACAUUGGAACUGAGACACGGUCCAAACUCC
Molecule: ribosomal RNA, 251 nt
Filed under: uncultured bacterium
Lineage: Bacteria
Description: partial 16S ribosomal RNA
Rfam family: Bacterial small subunit ribosomal RNA
Source: RNAcentral